AUUCUAUGCCGUAUUAUAAAGAAAAAUCAACUCUUAAACUUGAUGGAUAAAUUCAUGAGUUAAAUUUUUUCAUCAAAAUUGAGGUUGUAGUUCUCACAAUUUCUUACCAAUAUCAGCUUUCCACUGCUAAACAAGACGAAGUUCUCCAGCUCCUUUUCCCUUGCUAUUCCCGGAUUCAAUUCAAAAAUUGCUGUUGGAGCUUUUCUUGGCCAUUCGUGUCUUGGUUUUUUUCAUGUUUGUGGCUUUAAGUGGAGGAUUUUACAUGGGUUCCUUCCAGUUGCCAUGGUGAUUGUUGGUGAAAAUAUGAGAGUUCAAAACUGCCCAUGUUUCAUGAAUUGUGUGAGCCAAAAUCGUGCAUUCCAAGUGUUUGAAAAAAUAGAAAACCGAAUUAAAGAAGUAAAUUUUUUUUGUUAAAAUAGAUUAUUAUAGCUAAAUCAUGGCCUGAAAAUAUUUGUUGAUUAAAAUUUUGAAAUUUUUUGAGCCUCUACGAAAUAACUUUUAAAGUUAAAGGUUGUUCUGCUUUAAUCUAUCACGUUGUUUGUUGUUUUUGUUAAUUUAAAAUUAUAGUUGCAUUGUAGAAACCAUAAGAACGUUUUGGGGUAGGUUUUGUGAAUUUUGAUCAAGAAUUGGAUGACUUUUUAAAAAGGGAGUACUCGGCUAAAAAUUUGAUUUUUGACCUCUUUUUGUGCAUUUUUGGUUUUAAACUAAGUUUAGAAAUAGAUUCUACAUGAAAAAUUGAGUGGGAAGGUAAAUUUUGAAGAUCGAAAAAGCUCGUCAACGACUAACGACCGACGGCAGUCUAGCGACGGCGCCACAUCGGCGUCUACCAUGGCCACAAGCUGCCAAAGCUUGGCCUGGCUAGAGAGGAAGAAGAAAAGAGAGGCAAAGAAGAAGAAGGAAAAAAAGAAACAGAAGGAAAAAAAGGGGGGGGGAUGGGCUAGUUCUUUAUUUUUUCCCUAGAAGCCCAACGUGUUUAUUAUAUUUAGAUUUGUGUAGUUUUAAUUGGGUUAGUUGUUAUUUUAAUGAAAAUGGUUUGCAUAUUUUAUUUCGAGCCAAAGUAUCUAUUACCCAAAUACUAAGAAUGACCCAAAAUUGUUUCUUUAGGUCUUCUUAUAAAAAGAAAAUAAUUUUUGCUAUGUGACCCCUAACUUUUGAGUAAUUUUAGUAUGAUGUAAAAAUUUUAGAUUUCUUUCAUUUAGGUCCUUUUUAUUGCAUUUUGAUCCUUAAACUUUUCUUAAUUUAAUUUUGACCUGUAAUUUUUUCAAAAAUUAUGUUUUGACCUCAAUGCUUUUUAUUUUUACAAUUUAGUCUCUAUUAGUUUUUUGAUUUCUCAAUUAUAAUUGUUUCCUUUGUCUAAUUAUUAAUUAUGGUUCACUUAAAUGCAUUUCCUUUAUAAAUUUUAGGUAUUUUAAAUUUAUUUACAUUUUUUGACAUAAUAAAGUGACUUUAGUAUUGAUGUGACUCCCGUUGAUGAUGAGAAUCUCGACGACGAACCCCCG
Molecule: long non-coding RNA, 1499 nt
Filed under: Coffea arabica (coffee)
Lineage: Eukaryota; Viridiplantae; Streptophyta; Magnoliopsida; Gentianales; Rubiaceae
Description: long non-coding RNA (CARA_LNC003797)
Source: RNAcentral